This is a non-coding RNA of Mus caroli (Ryukyu mouse), 1191 nucleotides long. The record is from RefSeq and is a predicted model, not a curated record. NCBI's taxonomy places the organism in Eukaryota, Metazoa, Chordata, Mammalia, Rodentia, Muridae.
GUGACCAACCAGCCUGGCAGGCAGCAGUUACCUCUCAACUGAUGGCUGAAUAGGAGGUAUCUCCAUCACCAUGAGCUUCGGGUCUGGCGGGUUCUGAGGCUCCUAAGAACAGAGCAUCACCCGUCUUUCGCUGGAGAUCCAGUGCUCUGAAGCUCAGUCAACUGCUGGACAGAAAGGCGCUGAAAUCAGACUGCAGCAGGGGACCACCUGUCUGCGGAUCUGCCGCGGAGAGAGCUUGACCCAAAGCGCUGCUUGGAGAGGAUCCGGAGGGGAGCUCUGAGCCGCCACCGCCACCUUAGCAGCCGCGAGCCGCCAUCGCCUUGGGCUUCUACCGGUCGCCACUAUGGCCGAGGAAGAAUCUGCCUCCACCACGUCUUACACUGAAGAUGAUUUCUACUGUCCGAUAUGCCAAGAAGUCUUCAAAACGCCAGUUCGGGUCGCGGCCUGUAAGCAUGUUUUCUGCAGAAAAUGUUUCCUGAGUGCAAUGAAGGAGAGCCGGCUCCACUGCCCCCUGUGCCGUGGAAAUGUGACUAGAAGAGAAAGAGCUUGUCCAGUGAGGGCUGUAGACCUUGAAACCAUCAUGAGACAUUUUCCUGGUAAUUGCCGAUGCUGUUCCCAACGCGUUGAACUCUAUCGUAUGAGGCAGCACUACAAAACUUGCGAAAAGUACCAGGAUGAAUUUGGAGUUUCUACAUCUGUUUCAAGCUUCCAACAGUCUCCAAACUCCGUGGGCAACAGUAACAACGAGGCACCGGCCUCAGCGAAUGCCGAGGAGGUUUUACAAGAAGAGGAAGAGAACGCGAGCCCACCUGAUGAGCCCACCUUCGAUUGCCCUCUGUGUGAAGAAGUGACCAUGAGCAGACAACGUUUGCUGGAUCAUUGCAAUAGCAGCCACCGAGGUCGUGUAGUUUCAGUCACUUGCCCAAUUUGCCUAUCUCUUCCAUGGGGCGACCCGCCUCAACUCACCAGAAAUUUUGUUAGCCAUCUUAACCAGAGGCAUCAGUUUGAUUACGGAGAUUUCGUGAAUCUUCAGCUGGAUGAGGAAACCCAAUUUCAGAUUGCCAUCGAGGAGUCCUUCCACGUCAACAUCUAGAGGGACUGUACUCAUUUCUACAAUUGCUCCUAAGGGACAAUUUACACUAAAACAUCCCUUUAAUAACUUGAUGUUUUAAAUAAAAGUGAUCAGUCUGA